This 486-nucleotide ribosomal RNA is filed under the name uncultured bacterium. RNAcentral's name for it is "partial 16S ribosomal RNA". It matches the Rfam family "Bacterial small subunit ribosomal RNA", at positions 30 to 507 of the family's 1533-position model. The record is from RNAcentral.
AUUGAACGCUGGCGGCAUGCCUUACACAUGCAAGUCGAACGGCAGCACGGGUGCUUGCCCCUGGUGGCGAGUGGCGAACGGGUGAGUAAUACAUCGGAACAUGUCCUGUAGUGGGGGAUAGCCCGGCGAAAGCCGGAUUAAUACCGCAUACGAUCUACGGAUGAAAGCGGGGGACCUUCGGGCCUCGCGCUAUAGGGUUGGCCGAUGGCUGAUUAGCUAGUUGGUGGGGUAAAGGCCUACCAAGGCGACGAUCAGUAGCUGGUCUGAGAGGACGACCAGCAACACUGGGACUGAGACACGGCCCAGACUCCUACGGGAGGCAGCAGUGGGGAAUUUUGGACAAUGGGCGAAAGCCUGAUCCAGCAAUGCCGCGUGUGUGAAGAAGGCCUUCGGGUUGUAAAGCACUUUUGUCCGGAAAGAAAUCCUUGGCCCUAAUACGGUCGGGGGAUGACGGUACCGGAAGAAUAAGCACCGGCUAACUACGUG